This 253-nucleotide ribosomal RNA is filed under the name uncultured bacterium. Its description in RNAcentral is "partial 16S ribosomal RNA". It matches the Rfam family "Bacterial small subunit ribosomal RNA", at positions 524 to 776 of the family's 1533-position model. The record is from RNAcentral.
UACGUAGGGUGCAAGCGUUGUCCGGAAUUAUUGGGCGUAAAGGGCUCGUAGGCGGUCUGUCGCGUCGGGAGUGAAAACUCAGGGCUUAACCCUGAGCCUGCUUCCGAUACGGGCAGACUAGAGGUAUGCAGGGGAGAACGGAAUUCCUGGUGUAGCGGUGAAAUGCGCAGAUAUCAGGAGGAACACCGAUGGCGAAGGCAGGUCUCUGGGCCGAUACUGACGCUGAGGAGCGAAAGCGUGGGGAGCGAACAGG